CAAAGGGACAGCACUGGAUCACAUACCAGUUUCAUCGUAACAUUCAGGUAGAACAUCAAAUAUCUUAGAAAUAUGAGAAAAAGACAACAGAGCUGAUUCCAUGCUUGAUUUAUCAGACACAUUCUGAUUCUAUAGCUGAAGACCAGAUCUUGGACAGCAACAAGGAUUGAACACACUACCUAAGUGUUUUAUAAUAAUGAAGAAGUCGAGCUGUCGUGAGGAAAAUGGAUAAGAUAAAAAGCCACAGAGACUAUUCUUCUAAAUACUAACCGAAAAAAAGCAGAAACGAAGUUCUCUCUUAGGCUGC
Long non-coding RNA from Orcinus orca (killer whale), 307 nucleotides. RefSeq lists it as uncharacterized. The record is from RefSeq and is a predicted model, not a curated record. The transcript is spliced from 3 exons. NCBI's taxonomy places the organism in Eukaryota, Metazoa, Chordata, Mammalia, Artiodactyla, Delphinidae.